RNAcentral lists this long non-coding RNA (3821 nucleotides) under Solanum tuberosum (potato). RNAcentral describes it as "long non-coding RNA (STUB_LNC011866)". Lineage: Eukaryota; Viridiplantae; Streptophyta; Magnoliopsida; Solanales; Solanaceae. The record is from RNAcentral.
CAUGUGGCUGGUUUGGCAUUAGGAUCACUUAUUCAGUGCUUUGAAUGGGAGAGAGUAACCGAAGAGCUGGUAGACAUGACUGAAGGACCUGGACUCACUAUGCCGAAGGCAAUACUGUUGCUAGCAAAAUGUAGGCCACGCCAAAAUAUCGACAACCUUCUUGCUCAUUUGUAAUCACAAUUCUCCCCUGCACUUUCUCUUUUAUGACACAACUAAUAAACGACGUUAUAUUUGUCUAUUAACACAUACUACAGAAAGAUAGGCAAAGUAACAUCUAGUCUCAAGUAGCCUGCUAAUUGUUCACAACUUGCAGGGCAUGAUCAGUAAUUCUACAUUUGUCUAAUAAACAAAAUCUAAGGCAAAAGUAACAUCUAUUUUCUAGUAGCUUGCUAAUUGUUCAAUUCCUCUUUAAGAAUGAGAAACAAGAGACUAGAUAAUUUGUGUCAGUUGUAUGAAUUCUUACUGUCAAUUCUGCUCUCAUUUCCUUCUAAUGUUUCUGAUAUUUGUACACUCCUAUUUCUUCUAUGAGACAGAUCAAGUUACGUGUUUCACUGGUAACCUAACAAAAUUACACAGUUAUUUUUACGUGGAAAACACGCAGCUCACAAGGGUUAAAAACCACAACCUGCACCUCUGUAAGAUUUCUCCCAAACAAUGAGCCUCAACAAGAAAUGUAAUACUAGAAACUCUAAUUCCUAACUUUCAAUAGCCUCGCAGACUAUUGAACCCCACUUCAAGUUUGCCCCAACUUAAAGUUUACACAACUCCAUAUUGUUCCAUCGGAAAGGGUCUGAUAUGCCCCAACCUUGCCAUUUAGAGCUAAUAACUAGCUCAUAUAUACCCCUAUUGUUACAUAAAUGGAUCACAUCUAAAUGCUUGUUUUAAGAUAUAUUAGUUUUUUCGUUGUAGCCACUAAUUAGUUCAAAGGGGAAAUAUAUGGAAGAUUAAAAGGAAAAAGAGAUAACAUAGACAUACUCUACAAUAAAAUUUCACUAUAACAAUCAUGUUUAUGUGAAACUGAUCUUCGAUGUUAUGUUAUAUUAUAUUAUAUAUUCUUGAUAACAACCCUUCGUUAUAGAAGCCAAAAUAUUGGGACAAACAAAGCUGUUACAGAGAGAUUUGACUGUAGUAUUAAGAAGUUACUCCAAUACACUAUCGCCUAACAAUGCAAAGUUAAUUAACAGUAAAUUAUCAUCAACCACAAUCGUUUAAUGAUAAGUACUGGCACCUUGCUGUCCAAAGAUGAUAAAGUCUAAUAAUGUUGACAGCAACACAUAACUAUAAACUAAGUGAAGAGCUGGUUGACAUAACUGAAGGACCUGGACUCACUAUGCCGAAGGCUAUACCAUUGCUAGCAAAAUGUAGGCCAUGCCAAAAUAUCGACAACCUUCUUGCUCAUUUGUAAUCACAAUUCUCCCCUGUACUUUCUCUUUUCAGACACAACUAAUAAACGACGUUACAUUUGUCUAGAGAAUUUGUGUCAGUUUUAUGAAUUCUUACUAUCCAUUCUGCGCUCAUUUCCUUCUAAUGUUUAAUAAUUUGGAAUUCUCUAAGAGUAAAGGUUUUCUUCCAACACAUCAAUCUCUACCAGGAACAAGAGCGUUCAGCAGACGCCAAAGUGCAUGCUUACGGCUAUGUGUAUAUGAUCAAUCUCCAGAUCAAAGUAAACGCUUGCUUCGGGAUAUAUUACUUCUUUCGUCAUAGCCACUAAUUAGUUCAAAGGGGAAAUAUAUGGAGGAUUAAGGUAAAGAGAGGCAGCAUAGGCAUACUCUAUAAUAACAUUUCACUAUAACAAUUAUGUUCUAUGUGAAACUGAUCUUUCACGUUAUGUUAUAUUAUAUGUUCUUAUAACAACACUUUGUUAUAGAAGCCAAAGUAUUGGGACAAAUUAAACAAGGCUGCUAUAGAGACAUUUGACUGUACUAUUAAAAAGUUACUCCAAUACGCUAUCGCCUAUCGAUGCAAACACGUUAAAUUAGCAGUAAAUUAUCAUCAACCACAAUCGUUUAGUGAUAAGUACUGGCACCUUGCUGUCCAAAGAUGAUAAAGUCAAAUGAUGCUGAUAGGAACACAUAACUAUAAACUGAGACCUUUGUUGCACCAGAGCUGCACUCCAUAAAUCAUCAGCCUAAAUUUUAUCUUAAAUUCAAUUCCUACCUAAGUAGGCCUAAAUUCCCAUUCAAGAAGUUAUCCAGUAUAUAAAUUCGAGAAUUCUGUUAUUUAGAGUUACUGUAAAAAGUACCUGCACCAACCAUGGAAAUUUCAUUCUACAUCCUCAUCCUCAUCCUCAUCUUCACUUUCCUUUACUUGCUAAAGAACCAUUUCCUUAAGAAAAUUCCAAAAUCUCCCACCAAGUCCCUUUAUCUCUUUGCCCAUUAUAGGUCAUCUACAUCUAUUCAAGAAACCAAUUCAUAAAACAUUAGCCAACAUCUCAGAAAAACACGGUCCUUUGCUUUACCUCCGAUUUGGAUCGCGUCCUGUCCUGCUCGUCUCCUCCCCUUCUCUUGCAGAGGAAUGUUUCACCAAAAACGACGUUGUUUUUGCCAACCGUCCGAGGCUUCUUGCUGGAAAACAUCUUGGUUACAAUUAUACCACUCUUCUGUGGGCAUCCUAUGGCCAACAUUGGCGCAACUUAAGAAGGAUUGCUACUCAUGAAAUCUUGUCCACUCUGAGAGUUCAAAUGUUUGCUGAUAUACGUAGAAAUGAGGUUCGCACUCUGCUUCAACGACUUGUAAGGGGAAAAACCAUUGGUGAAGAUCCUAACACAAACGUGGUGGAUAUGAAAGCGGCUGUAUUUGACAUGACACUGAACAACUUGAUGAUGAUGAUUGCUGGGAAGCAAUACUAUGGUGAUUCUGAUGAGAAGUUGGAGGCAUCUAAAAGGUUUAAAGAGAUUGUCACAGAAAGUCUCCAAGUGAGUGGUGCAACAAAUAUAGGAGAUUUUGUGCCGCUUCUUAAAUGGAUAGGAGUAAACAAACUUGAGGAUAAGGUGAAGUUAGUGCAGGAGAAGAGGGAUAAAUUCAUGCAAGAUUUGAUUGAAGAGCACAAGAACCGCCGAAAAGGAUCUCAUUGGGAGCAAAAGAAUAACACCAUGAUUGAUGUUCUCUUAUCCCUCCAAGAUUCGGAGCCUGAUUAUUACACAGAUGAAGUGAUAAGGGGCAUGGGAAUGGUCAUGUUUACAGCAGGUACUGAUACUACAGCUAUCACAAUGGAAUGGGCAUUAUCACUUCUUCUGAACAAUCCCGAGGCACUAAAGAAAGCUCAAAAUGAAAUCGACACUCACAUCGGAGACUCAUCAAGAUUACUUGAUGAUUCAGACCUUGCUCAACUCCCUUAUCUCCAUGGAAUCAUAAAUGAAACUCUCCGAAUGUACCCAGCUGCUCCAUUACUUGUGCCACACGAGUCCUCGGAUGAGUGUAUCGUUGGAAGUUUUCAUGUACCCCGUGGGACAAUGUUGCUAGUGAAUUUGUGGGCAAUACAAAAUGAUGCUAAAUUGUGGGACAAGCCAAAUGAGUUCAAGCCGGAAAGGUUUAUCGAUUUCAAAGGUCAACGAGACGGAUUCAGGCUAAUGCCAUUUGGAUAUGGCAGGAGAGGAUGUCCAGGUGAGAAUUUGGCAAUGCAUGUGGCUGGUUUGGCAUUAGGAUCACUUAUUCAGUGCUUUGAAUGGGAGAGAGUAAGCGAAGAGCUGAUAGACAUGACUGAAGGACCUGGACUCACUAUGCCCAAGGGAAUACCGUUGCUAGCAAAAUGUAGGCCACGCCAAAAUAUCGAUAACCUUCUUGCUCAUUUGUAAUCACAAUUCUCCCCUGCACUUUUUCUUU